Molecule: small nuclear RNA, 107 nt
Organism: Heteronotia binoei (common prickly gecko)
Lineage: Eukaryota; Metazoa; Chordata; Lepidosauria; Squamata; Gekkonidae
Source: RefSeq, a predicted model, not a curated record
AUCCUCACUUCAGCAGCACAUAUACUAAAAUUGAAAUAAAAGAGAGAAGUUUAGCAUGGCCCCUGUGCAAGGAUGACACACAAAUUCAUAAAGUGUUCCACUCAGAU